This 253-nucleotide ribosomal RNA is filed under the name uncultured bacterium. Its description in RNAcentral is "partial 16S ribosomal RNA". It matches the Rfam family "Bacterial small subunit ribosomal RNA", at positions 524 to 776 of the family's 1533-position model. The record is from RNAcentral.
UACGGAGGAUCCAAGCGUUAUCCGGAUUUAUUGGGUUUAAAGGGUGCGUAGGCGGAAUUGUAAGUCAGUGGUGAAAUCUUGCAGCUUAACUGUAAAAUUGCCGUUGAUACUGCUAUUCUUGAGUAUAGUUGAGGUAGGCGGAAUGUGUAAUGUAGCGGUGAAAUGCUUAGAUAUUACACAGAACACCGAUUGCGUAGGCAGCUUACUAAGCUAUAACUGACGCGGAGGCACGAAAGCGUGGGGAUCGAACAGG